AAAAAUGAUGCCUCCACCUUUCAGUAUUUUAAUAGAAGCUUUUAUUUUAAGCUUUUCAUCUCUGGGUCUCUGCAGCUGGAGUUACUAAAGUGGCUGCUUCUGAUCGCUCUUGCAGUCACUAGAAGGAAAUGGGAAUGACACUGACGUCCUAGGGCUGCCCUUGACAAAGGACCACAAACCGGGAGGCUUAGGACAGCAGAAACUUCUUGGCUGGGAGGCUGGAAGUCCAAAAUCAAGGUGUCAGCAGGGCCACACUCCCUCUGAAUGCUGUGGGCGGUUGGGGGGGGUCCUUCCUUCGUGCUCCCUGGCUUGCAGCUGCAUCACUCUAAUCUCUCCCUCUGUCACCCUGUGGCCUUCUCUGUAUCUGUGUCCCCAUCUGUGUCCAGAUUUCCCUCUUCUUACAAAGACACCAGUCAUUGGAUCAACACCCAUCUUAAUCCAGUGCGACCUCAGCUUAACUUGACCACAUCUGCAAAGAUUCUAUUUCCAAUCAAAUCCACAGUUACAGAUACUGUGGGUUAGAACUUUGAAGUUCUAAUCAAGGUCACAGUUACAGAUACCAUGGGUUAGGAUGUCAAAGACGCUACGUCCAAUCAAGGUCACAGUUACAGAUACCAUGGGUUAGGAUGUCGAAGACACUCUGUCCAAUCAAGGUCACAGUUACAGAUACUGUGGGUUAGGAUGUCGAAGACACUGUGUCCAAUCAAGGUCAUGGUUACAGAUACUGUGGGUUAGAACUUUGAAGUUCUAAUCAAGGUCACAGUUACAGAUACCAUGGGUUAGGAUGUUGAAGACACUGUGUCCAAUCAAGGUCACGGUUACAGAUACUGUGGGUUAGAACUUUGAAGUUCUAAUCAAGAUCACAAUUACAGAUACCAUGGGUUAGGAUGUCAAAGACGCUAGGUCCAAUCAAGGUCACAGUUACAGAUACUGUGGGUUAGAACUUUGAAGUUCUAAUCAAGGUCACAAUUACAGAUACCAUGGGUUAGGAUGGCGAAGACGCUAUGUCCAAUCAAGGUCGCAGUUACAGAUACUGUGGGAAUCAAAGAGUUAAUGCAUGCGCCAUUCUUAGAAUGACACCUGGCCUACAGUAAGUGCUCAAGUUAAAUUCUUGGUUCUUCAACACUAUCAAGACCUCACUGUGGCUUCUGGAGUUUGAACUGGCUGUAUUCCUAAUGGAGUUGUUCAUAACACACUAAUUUAAAAUAUUAGUGCAGCUGAGAGUUUCUAACCCCCAAAAUACUGUGUAAGGCUCUGCUCCUUCCGUGUAACUUCAUGCUUUCCUUAUGCAAUGACUGUGAACAUUGUUUGUAUAUCAGAAUCCCUAGAGAGCCUUGAAGUAGUA
This 1345-nucleotide long non-coding RNA is filed under the name Homo sapiens (human). RNAcentral describes it as "HSALNT0405292". Lineage: Eukaryota; Metazoa; Chordata; Mammalia; Primates; Hominidae. The record is from RNAcentral.